CGCUGGCGGCAUGCCUAAUACAUGCAAGUCGAGCGAACAGAUGAAGUGCUUGCACUUCUGACGUUAGCGGCGAACGGGUGAGUAACACGUAAGGAAUCUACCUAUAAGCGGGGGAUAACAUUCGGAAACGGGUGCUAAUACCGCAUAAUAUCUUCUUCCGCAUGGAAGAAGAUUGAAAGACGGCUCUGCUGUCACUUAUAGAUGACCUUGCGGUGCAUUAGUUAGUUGGUGGGGUAACGGCCUACCAAGACGAUGAUGCAUAGCCGACCUGAGAGGGUGAUCGGCCACAUUGGGACUGAGACACGGCCCAAACUCCUACGGGAGGCAGCAGUAGGGAAUCUUCCGCAAUGGGCGAAAGCCUGACGGAGCAAUGCCGCGUGAGUGAGGAAGGCCUUCGGGUCGUAAAACUCUGUUAUAAGAGAAGAACAAAUUGUAGAGUAACUGCUACAGUCUUGACGGUAUCUUAUCAGAAAGCCACGGCUAACUACGUGCCAGCAGCCGCGGUAAUACGUAGGUGGCAAGCGUUGUCCGGAUUUAUUGGGCGUAAAGGGAGCGCAGGUGGUUUCUUAAGUCUGAUGUGAAAGCCCACGGCUUAACCGUGGAGGGUCAUUGGAAACUGGGAAACUUGAGUACAGAAGAGGAAUGUGGAACUCCAUGUGUAGCGGUGGAAUGCGCAGAUAUAUGGAAGAACACCAGUGGCGAAGGCGACAUUCUGGUCUGUUACUGACACUGAGGCUCGAAAGCGUGGGGAGCAAACAGGAUUAGAUACCCUGGUAGUCC
Molecule: ribosomal RNA, 780 nt
Filed under: uncultured bacterium
Lineage: Bacteria
Description: bacterial SSU rRNA
Rfam family: Bacterial small subunit ribosomal RNA
Source: RNAcentral